AUUUCCAUUCCUUAUAUGCAAAUGAACGGGGCGUGGUUAGCUCACAGGUCCAGAGACCCAGACCAAAGCAACAGCACCACACUGACUACUCGAGAAGAGGAAGAAAAUGGAGGAGAAGGACUAUAAGGCAAACUACUAAAUGAAAAUAACAACAUGGAAGACGUCGGUGGGCUCCAAGACUUAACUGGUUCUUAUCUGGUCUUAUCUGGUCUUAUCUGGUCCGCCCAAUGCUGCUCUUCUGAGAGCAACCGCUCUGACAGCUCUCUCUAGUCUCUACUGGGAAACAGCUAAAAGUCCUUCUGGAGGUAAGCAACGCUACACAAUUACACCCAGUCUGAGAGUAAAAUAUGUCUCGAAGGCUUUGCAUUUGAACUCCUAUGACUGGUUGCGGACUUGAAGGGAACGCCUUCCUGACAUCCAGGAAAAAGGUGAGAUUAUAAUACAUUUGAAUGCCAAAAGCAAGUUAUUGUUUUUAACUUUUGAAAUAUGAUUGUUUUGGGGCAUUUCAGUUUUAUUGGACAGGCAGUGGAGAUCUACUGGAAACAGUGGAGAGGGAGGAGAUGAUAUGCAGCAUACGGCCCAGCCGGAUGGUUGCUGCUCCGUGUGGAACGUGUCCUAUCAGGUGUAACAUCUACCAAUGGUUGUACAUGACAGAGACCUCCUCCACCUCUUUGCUGUCUUACUAGUCAAUCCUUCUGAUCAGGUCCUUUCCUAAAUAGUGAAAGGAUCAUGCCAGCCCACAUCAAACACCUGAUCAAGAGCUUGUGAACCUCACUGCUGCAGACACCUGUGUGAUAUUCCACUCUGACUGGAACCCUCAAAAUGACCUGCAGGCUCAAGCUCGGUUCGUCAUCGUUUUGGCCAGUCUAAGGCGGUGGAGGUGUACCGUCUGAUCACUAGAGACUAUGAGAGGGAAAUGCUGGAUAAAGCUAGUCUGAAGCUCGGGCUGGACCGUCCCGUCCUGCAGAGCAUGAGUGGCAACAACAACGGGCCGGUCCAGCAGUUCUCCAAGAAGGAGAUCGAGGACCUGCUGAGGAAAGGAGCCUACGCCGCCAUCAUGGACGAGAACGACGAAGGCAAUCGCUUCUGCUAGGAGGACAUCGACCAGAUCCUGCAGCGAAGAGCCACCAUCAUCACCAUCACCGGUUUGCUUCAAGCAGUGGCUGCACGAGAAAGACGUGGAGGACCAAGAAAUGCUGGCCAGAUUGGCAAAGACCGGAAGAUACAUAACAGAGAAGAUAAUGGAUAUUAACAAGAGAAAGAAAAAAAAAUGUUU
Long non-coding RNA from Gymnodraco acuticeps, 1276 nucleotides. RefSeq lists it as uncharacterized. NCBI's taxonomy places the organism in Eukaryota, Metazoa, Chordata, Actinopteri, Perciformes, Bathydraconidae. The record is from RefSeq and is a predicted model, not a curated record. The transcript has 7 exons.